Molecule: ribosomal RNA, 460 nt
Filed under: uncultured bacterium
Lineage: Bacteria
Description: partial 16S ribosomal RNA
Rfam family: Bacterial small subunit ribosomal RNA
Source: RNAcentral
CCUACGGGUGGCAGCAGUGAGGAAUAUUGGUCAAUGGACGCAAGUCUGAACCAGCCAUGCCGCGUGCAGGAUGACGGCGCUAUGAGUUGUAAACUGCUUUUGUACGAGGGUAAUAUCGGAUACGUGUAUCUGCUUGAAAGUACCGUACGAAUAAGGAUCGGCUAACUCCGUGCCAGCAGCCGCGGUAAUACGGAGGAUCCAAGCGUUAUCCGGAUUUAUUGGGUUUAAAGGGUGCGUAGGCGGGAUUUUAAGUUAGAGGUGAAAUGUCGGGGCUCAACUCCGGCCGUGCCUCGAAUACUGGAUGACUUGAGAAGGGGGGCGGUAGGCGGAAUGUGUGGUGUAGCGGUGAAAUGCGUAGAGAUGACGCAGAACACCGAUUGCGAAGGCAGCUUACCGAAGGGGAUCUGACGUUGAGGCACGAAAGCGUGGGGAGCAAACAGGAUUAGAUACCCCAGUAGUC